CUGGUGGCGAGUGGCGGACGGGUGAGUAACGCGUGGGAAUCUACCUAUUAGUUGGGGACAACCUGGUGAAAACCAGGCUAAUACCGAAUGUGGUCUACGGACUAAAGCAGGGGAUCUUCGGACCUUGCGCUAAUAGAUGAGCCCGCGUUAGAUUAGCUAGUUGGUAGGGUAAAGGCCUACCAAGGCGACGAUCUAUAGCUGGUCUGAGAGGACGAUCAGCCACACUGGGACUGAGACACGGCCCAGACUCC
This 251-nucleotide ribosomal RNA is filed under the name uncultured bacterium. RNAcentral describes it as "partial 16S ribosomal RNA". It matches the Rfam family "Bacterial small subunit ribosomal RNA", at positions 85 to 339 of the family's 1533-position model. The record is from RNAcentral.